RNAcentral lists this ribosomal RNA (860 nucleotides) under uncultured bacterium. RNAcentral describes it as "bacterial SSU rRNA". It matches the Rfam family "Bacterial small subunit ribosomal RNA", at positions 8 to 853 of the family's 1533-position model. The record is from RNAcentral.
AGAGUUUGAUCAUGGGGCUCAGAUUGGACGCUGGCGGCAGGCUUAACACAUGCAAGUCGAACGGUAACAGGAAGGAAGCUUGCUUUCUUUGGCUGACGAGUGGCGGACGGGUGAGUAAUGCUUGGGAAUCUGGCUUAUGGAGGGGGAUAACUUACGGGAAACUGUAGCUAAUACCGCGUAAUAUCUUCGGAUUAAAGGGUGGGACCGUAAGGCCACCUGCCAUAAGAUGAGCCCAAGUGGGAUUAGGUAGUUGGUGGGGUAAAGGCCUACCAAGCCGACGAUCUCUAGCUGGUCUGAGAGGAUGACCAGCCACACUGGAACUGAGACACGGUCCAGACUCCUACGGGAGGCAGCAGUGGGGAAUAUUGCACAAUGGGGGGAACCCUGAUGCAGCCAUGCCGCGUGAAUGAGGAAGGCCUUCGGGUUGUAAAGUUCUUUCGGUGAUGAGGAAGGCGGUUGUUUUAAUAGAACAAUCGAUUGACGUUAGUCACAGAAGAAGCACCGGCUAACUCCGUGCCAGCAGCCGCGGUAAUACGGAGGGUGCGAGCGUUAAUCGGAAUGACUGGGCGUAAAGGGCACGCAGGCGGUGACUUAAGUGAGAUGUGAAAGCCCCGGGCUUAACCUGGGAAUUGCAUUUCAUACUGGGUCGCUAGAGUAUUUUAGGGAGGGGUAGAAUUCCACGUGUAGCGGUGAAAUGCGUAGAGAUGUGGAGGAAUACCGAAGGCGAAGGCAGCCCCUUGGGAAUAUACUGACGCUCAUGUGCGAAAGCGUGGGGAGCAAACAGGAUUAGAUACCCUGGUAGUCCACGCUGUAAACGCUGUCGAUUUGGGGAUUGGGCUUUAAGCUUGGUGCCCGUAGCU